GAUGAACGCUGGCGGCGUGCCUAAUACAUGCAAGUCGAGCGAACAGAUGAGGAGCUUGCUCCUCUGACGUUAGCGGCGGACGGGUGAGUAACACGUGGAUAACCUACCUAUAAGACUGGGAUAACUUCGGGAAACCGGAGCUAAUACCGGAUAAUAUAUUGAACCGCAUGGUUCAAUAGUGAAAGACGGUUUUGCUGUCACUUAUAGAUGGAUCCGCGCCGCAUUAGCUAGUUGGUAAGGUAACGGCUUACCAAGGCAACGAUGCAUAGCCGACCUGAGAGGGUGAUCGGCCACACUGGAACUGAGACACGGUCCAGACUCCUACGGGAGGCAGCAGUAGGGAAUCUUCCGCAAUGGGCGAAAGCUUGACGAAGCAACGCCGCGUGAGUGAUGAAGGUCUUCGGAUCGUAAAACUCUGUUAUUAGGGAAGAACAAAUGUGUAAGUAACGAUGCACGUCUUGACGGUACCUAAUCAGAAAGCCACGGCUAACUACGU
RNAcentral lists this ribosomal RNA (496 nucleotides) under uncultured bacterium. RNAcentral's name for it is "partial 16S ribosomal RNA". It matches the Rfam family "Bacterial small subunit ribosomal RNA", at positions 28 to 506 of the family's 1533-position model. The record is from RNAcentral.